GUAUAUGACGAGAGAAACGCUGUGCACCAGUCUGAAAUGUACUAAAUAUAUGUACUCUAGUACACUGAAGCAUUAAGUAUACCCAAAUUUCUGAU
This is a small nuclear RNA of Eremothecium sinecaudum, 95 nucleotides long. Lineage: Eukaryota; Fungi; Ascomycota; Saccharomycetes; Saccharomycetales; Saccharomycetaceae. The record is from RefSeq and is a predicted model, not a curated record.